ACGGGUGAGUAACGCGUGGAUUAUCUACCNACUGGUACGGGACAACAGUUGGAAACGACUGCUAAUACCGUAUACGCUGGUAACGGGAAAGGGGGCCCUCUUCUUUGAAAAGCUCUUCGNCCAGUAGNAUGAAGUCCGGCGUUUCAUUAGCUAGACGGGUGGGGGUAACGGGCCUACCGUGGCAACGAUGAAUAGCAGGCCUGAGAGGGUGGCCUGCCACACUGGGACUGGAACACGGCCCAGACUCCUACGGGAGGCAGCAGUGGGGAAUAUUGCGCAAUGGACGAAAGUCUGACGCAGCGACGCCGCGUGGAGGAUGAAGGUUUUCGGAUCGUAAACUCCUGUCAAGAGGGAAGAAACCUAUCAUGAAUAAUACUCAUAGUAAUUGACGGUACCUCUAGAGGAAGCACCGGCUAAUUCAGUGCCAGCAGCCCGCGGUAAUACUGAAGGUGCAAGCGUUAAUCGGAAUCACUGGGCGUAAAGCGCUCGUAGGUGGCUUUGUAAGUCAGGUGUGAAAGCCCACGGCUCAACCCGUGGAAUUGCACUUGAUACUGCAUCGC
RNAcentral lists this ribosomal RNA (560 nucleotides) under Desulfovibrio sp. BBD-11. RNAcentral's name for it is "bacterial SSU rRNA". It matches the Rfam family "Bacterial small subunit ribosomal RNA", at positions 102 to 641 of the family's 1533-position model. Lineage: Bacteria; Pseudomonadati; Thermodesulfobacteriota; Desulfovibrionia; Desulfovibrionales; Desulfovibrionaceae. The record is from RNAcentral.